This 1011-nucleotide small RNA is filed under the name Rattus norvegicus (Norway rat). RNAcentral's name for it is "uncharacterized LOC103693135". Lineage: Eukaryota; Metazoa; Chordata; Mammalia; Rodentia; Muridae. The record is from RNAcentral.
UCUCUCUCUCUCUCUCUCUCUCUCUCUCUCUCUCUGUGUGUGUGUGUGUGUGUGUGUGUGUGUGUGUGGUUUGCUUUGUAACUCGGUUGGCAUGAUUCCCAGUCAUGAACAUUGCAGAUGACAGCAUCAUGUUGCAAUACGGGAGGAUUAGACAAGCCUGCAGGAGUGAGGGUUUGCUGCUGAGUGAGGGUUUAAUCCCACAAGACUUCCUGAGCUCUCAAUGCCCACUUCCCAGGCCUUGUCUGGAAGAAGCACUUCUGCGGUGUAGCCGACUUUCUUGGUGUGCAGGAGGCUGUAGGUGUUGUCAAAGCGCAGGACAUCUGCAAGGACAGAGAGGUGACAGAUAGCAUAAGGACAGCCGCUGUGAGGUUGGGAACAGGCUGACCAGGCCUGUGGGUAGGACGUGUGCAUCAGCCACUGCCCUGUCCUGGCCCACUGUUUGUGACCACCUCCUGGGAGUGUAGUGACCACAGCAAGGGUGUGGCCCCUUCUAGAUCUCCAACAUUGCAGCAGCACCACCCAGCUCCCUGAAUCCCUCCUCGGAGCGGCCUCUGAAGAAAGGUUGCCAGCCCCAUUGCUGUGGCUUGUUUGGGUAAGUGCUCCUGGAAGAGUUGUGUGUCAAAGGCUGGGUCCCAGGGUAGCACUGUCAGAAGGUAGUGGGGACAUCAGGAGGGGGACUCAGGGGUCUCCUAUGCAGCCUAGACUUUCCCUGAGCUUCUGAUCCUCUUGACUCAGUUUCCUCCAGUGCUGGGAUUAUAGGCGUGUGCCAGCACACUUGGCCUCUCUCCCUUUCCCUCUUGCUUCCUGGCCUGUGACGUAGGUGUUUUCGCUCUGGGUGUUCUUGUCAUGCUGUGCCAACCCUGCCAGAGCCCCAAAGCAGUAAGGUCACUGGACCUUGGACAAGCAUCUCCAGAACUGUGUGGUGUGAUCAAAGACCCUGAAGACUGCAACCCUGGAGUCCCUACACCCUCCCUGGAAGUUGGACGUAGAUGGAACCCAGAAAGACCAGAC